Molecule: ribosomal RNA, 731 nt
Filed under: uncultured bacterium
Lineage: Bacteria
Description: bacterial SSU rRNA
Rfam family: Bacterial small subunit ribosomal RNA
Source: RNAcentral
ACACAUGCAGUCGAGCGGAUGACAGGAGCUUGCUCCUGAAUUCAGCGGCGGACGGGUGAGUAAUGCCUAGGAAUCUGCCUGGUAGUGGGGGACAACGUUUCGAAAGGAACGCUAAUACCGCAUACGUCCUACGGGAGAAAGCAGGGGACCUUCGGGCCUUGCGCUAUCAGAUGAGCCUAGGUCGGAUUAGCUAGUUGGUGAGGUAAUGGCUCACCAAGGCGACGAUCCGUAACUGGUCUGAGAGGAUGAUCAGUCACACUGGAACUGAGACACGGUCCAGACUCCUACGGGAGGCAGCAGUGGGGAAUAUUGGACAAUGGGCGAAAGCCUGAUCCAGCCAUGCCGCGUGUGUGAAGAAGGUCUUCGGAUUGUAAAGCACUUUAAGUUGGGAGGAAGGGCAUUAACCUAAUACGUUAGUGUUUUGACGUUACCGACAGAAUAAGCACCGGCUAACUCUGUGCCAGCAGCCGCGGUAAUACAGAGGGUGCAAGCGUUAAUCGGAAUUACUGGGCGUAAAGCGCGCGUAGGUGGUUUGUUAAGUUGGAUGUGAAAUCCCCGGGCUCAACCUGGGAACUGCAUUCAAAACUGACAAGCUAGAGUAUGGUAGAGGGUGGGUGGAAUUUCCUGUGUAGCGGUGAAAUGCGUAGAUAUAGGAAGGAACACCAGUGGCGAAAGCGACCACCUGGACUGAUACUGACACUGAGGUGCGAAAGCGUGGGGAGCAAACAGGA